This 2901-nucleotide ribosomal RNA is filed under the name Escherichia coli STEC_S1191. Its description in RNAcentral is "bacterial LSU rRNA". It matches the Rfam family "Bacterial large subunit ribosomal RNA". Lineage: Bacteria; Pseudomonadati; Pseudomonadota; Gammaproteobacteria; Enterobacterales; Enterobacteriaceae. The record is from RNAcentral.
UUAAGCGACUAAGCGUACACGGUGGAUGCCCUGGCAGUCAGAGGCGAUGAAGGACGUGCUAAUCUGCGAUAAGCGUCGGUAAGGUGAUAUGAACCGUUAUAACCGGCGAUUUCCGAAUGGGGAAACCCAGUGUGUUUCGACACACUAUCAUUAACUGAAUCCAUAGGUUAAUGAGGCGAACCGGGGGAACUGAAACAUCUAAGUACCCCGAGGAAAAGAAAUCAACCGAGAUUCCCCCAGUAGCGGCGAGCGAACGGGGAGCAGCCCAGAGCCUGAAUCAGUGUGUGUUAGUGGAAGCGUCUGGAAAGGCGCGCGAUACAGGGUGACAGCCCCGUACACAAAAAUGCACAUGCUGUGAGCUCGAUGAGUAGGGCGGGACACGUGGUAUCCUGUCUGAAUAUGGGGGGACCAUCCUCCAAGGCUAAAUACUCCUGACUGACCGAUAGUGAACCAGUACCGUGAGGGAAAGGCGAAAAGAACCCCGGCGAGGGGAGUGAAAAAGAACCUGAAACCGUGUACGUACAAGCAGUGGGAGCACGCUUAGGCGUGUGACUGCGUACCUUUUGUAUAAUGGGUCAGCGACUUAUAUUCUGUAGCAAGGUUAACCGAAUAGGGGAGCCGAAGGGAAACCGAGUCUUAACUGGGCGUUAAGUUGCAGGGUAUAGACCCGAAACCCGGUGAUCUAGCCAUGGGCAGGUUGAAGGUUGGGUAACACUAACUGGAGGACCGAACCGACUAAUGUUGAAAAAUUAGCGGAUGACUUGUGGCUGGGGGUGAAAGGCCAAUCAAACCGGGAGAUAGCUGGUUCUCCCCGAAAGCUAUUUAGGUAGCGCCUCGUGAAUUCAUCUCCGGGGGUAGAGCACUGUUUCGGCAAGGGGGUCAUCCCGACUUACCAACCCGAUGCAAACUGCGAAUACCGGAGAAUGUUAUCACGGGAGACACACGGCGGGUGCUAACGUCCGUCGUGAAGAGGGAAACAACCCAGACCGCCAGCUAAGGUCCCAAAGUCAUGGUUAAGUGGGAAACGAUGUGGGAAGGCCCAGACAGCCAGGAUGUUGGCUUAGAAGCAGCCAUCAUUUAAAGAAAGCGUAAUAGCUCACUGGUCGAGUCGGCCUGCGCGGAAGAUGUAACGGGGCUAAACCAUGCACCGAAGCUGCGGCAGCGACACUAUGUGUUGUUGGGUAGGGGAGCGUUCUGUAAGCCUGUGAAGGUGUGCUGUGAGGCAUGCUGGAGGUAUCAGAAGUGCGAAUGCUGACAUAAGUAACGAUAAAGCGGGUGAAAAGCCCGCUCGCCGGAAGACCAAGGGUUCCUGUCCAACGUUAAUCGGGGCAGGGUGAGUCGACCCCUAAGGCGAGGCCGAAAGGCGUAGUCGAUGGGAAACAGGUUAAUAUUCCUGUACUUGGUGUUACUGCGAAGGGGGGACGGAGAAGGCUAUGUUGGCCGGGCGACGGUUGUCCCGGUUUAAGCGUGUAGGCUGGUUUUCCAGGCAAAUCCGGAAAAUCAAGGCUGAGGCGUGAUGACGAGGCACUACGGUGCUGAAGCAACAAAUGCCCUGCUUCCAGGAAAAGCCUCUAAGCAUCAGGUAACAUCAAAUCGUACCCCAAACCGACACAGGUGGUCAGGUAGAGAAUACCAAGGCGCUUGAGAGAACUCGGGUGAAGGAACUAGGCAAAAUGGUGCCGUAACUUCGGGAGAAGGCACGCUGAUAUGUAGGUGAAGUCCCUCGCGGAUGGAGCUGAAAUCAGUCGAAGAUACCAGCUGGCUGCAACUGUUUAUUAAAAACACAGCACUGUGCAAACACGAAAGUGGACGUAUACGGUGUGACGCCUGCCCGGUGCCGGAAGGUUAAUUGAUGGGGUUAGCCGCAAGGCGAAGCUCUUGAUCGAAGCCCCGGUAAACGGCGGCCGUAACUAUAACGGUCCUAAGGUAGCGAAAUUCCUUGUCGGGUAAGUUCCGACCUGCACGAAUGGCGUAAUGAUGGCCAGGCUGUCUCCACCCGAGACUCAGUGAAAUUGAACUCGCUGUGAAGAUGCAGUGUACCCGCGGCAAGACGGAAAGACCCCGUGAACCUUUACUAUAGCUUGACACUGAACAUUGAGCCUUGAUGUGUAGGAUAGGUGGGAGGCUUAGAAGUGUGGACGCCAGUCUGCAUGGAGCCGACCUUGAAAUACCACCCUUUAAUGUUUGAUGUUCUAACGUUGACCCGUAAUCCGGGUUGCGGACAGUGUCUGGUGGGUAGUUUGACUGGGGCGGUCUCCUCCUAAAGAGUAACGGAGGAGCACGAAGGUUGGCUAAUCCUGGUCGGACAUCAGGAGGUUAGUGCAAUGGCAUAAGCCAGCUUGACUGCGAGCGUGACGGCGCGAGCAGGUGCGAAAGCAGGUCAUAGUGAUCCGGUGGUUCUGAAUGGAAGGGCCAUCGCUCAACGGAUAAAAGGUACUCCGGGGAUAACAGGCUGAUACCGCCCAAGAGUUCAUAUCGACGGCGGUGUUUGGCACCUCGAUGUCGGCUCAUCACAUCCUGGGGCUGAAGUAGGUCCCAAGGGUAUGGCUGUUCGCCAUUUAAAGUGGUACGCGAGCUGGGUUUAGAACGUCGUGAGACAGUUCGGUCCCUAUCUGCCGUGGGCGCUGGAGAACUGAGGGGGGCUGCUCCUAGUACGAGAGGACCGGAGUGGACGCAUCACUGGUGUUCGGGUUGUCAUGCCAAUGGCACUGCCCGGUAGCUAAAUGCGGAAGAGAUAAGUGCUGAAAGCAUCUAAGCACGAAACUUGCCCCGAGAUGAGUUCUCCCUGACUCCUUGAGAGUCCUGAAGGAACGUUGAAGACGACGACGUUGAUAGGCCGGGUGUGUAAGCGCAGCGAUGCGUUGAGCUAACCGGUACUAAUGAACCGUGAGGCUUAACCUU